Molecule: ribosomal RNA, 460 nt
Filed under: uncultured bacterium
Lineage: Bacteria
Description: partial 16S ribosomal RNA
Rfam family: Bacterial small subunit ribosomal RNA
Source: RNAcentral
CCUACGGGAGGCAGCAGUGAGGAAUAUUGGUCAAUGGGCGGAAGCCUGAACCAGCCAAGUAGCGUGCAGGAUGACGGCCCUACGGGUUGUAAACUGCUUUUAUACGGGAAUAACGCGCCUUACGUGUAGGGCUUUGCAUGUACCGUAUGAAUAAGGACUGGCCGAUUCCGUUCCAGCAGCCGCGGUAAUGCGGAAGGUCCGGGCGUUUUCCGGAUUUUUUGGGUUUUAAGGGAUGGUUGGCCGCAUGUCAAGCGUGCUGUGAAAUGUCCGGGCUCAACCCGGGCCUUGCAGCGCAAACUGGCGUGCUUGAGUCCGCGGAAAGCAGGCGGAAUGCGUGGUGUAGCGGUGAAAUGCUUAGAUAUGACGAAGAACCCCGAUUGCGAAGGCAGCUUGCUGCAGCGGAACUGACGCUGAUGCUCGAAAGCGCGGGUAUCGAACAGGAUUAGAUACCCUAGUAGUC